Molecule: ribosomal RNA, 253 nt
Filed under: uncultured bacterium
Lineage: Bacteria
Description: partial 16S ribosomal RNA
Rfam family: Bacterial small subunit ribosomal RNA
Source: RNAcentral
UACGAAGGGGGCUAGCGUUGUUCGGAAUCACUGGGCGUAAAGCGAACGCAGGCGGAUCGAUAAGUCGGGGGUGAAAGCCCGGGGCUCAACCUCGGAAUUGCCUUAGAUACUCUCGGUCUCGAGUCCGGGAGAGGUGAGUGGAAUUCCUAGUGUAGAGGUGAAAUUCGUAGAUAUUAGGAAGAAAACCAGUGGCGAAGGCGGCUCACUGGCCCGGUACUGACGCUCAGGUGCGAAAGCGUGGGGAGCAAACAGG